This is a long non-coding RNA of Oreochromis aureus, 1307 nucleotides long. The record is from Ensembl. Lineage: Eukaryota; Metazoa; Chordata; Actinopteri; Cichliformes; Cichlidae.
UAUAAAGAAGUAACGUCCACCAUGUCGUCAAUAAUUGGCCAUCAAAUGAUCUCGUUUGUUGUGUCGCACUUUUAAUAUUGCUUAGGUUAAAACAAACUUUACAAAAAAUAAACUCAACUUUUCUAUUAAAAGUUUUUAGUCCGUUUUACUCAUUUGGUUAAGCUAAUCUGUUUUAUUCGUGAUAGUUAACUAUAGCUAACAUAGUCCAAGCUUGUUGCUAUGGAUGUGAGUUUAAGGGUCAGUGCGCAGUGAUUCAGAACGCUACUGACCGGGACUAUGUUUUGGUCCAUGUAACUGGUAGUAAAGCUUCAUUUAUGUAUUUAUUUUUCUAACAAAAUAAAGCUUUAUUGUACCCAGCAGACAUUACUAACGUUAACGUUCAGAUUUAUAGGCGUCCCCCUUUAAAUGGACACCUCUGGACGGUGAAGUCUGAGGACGCUUACCUGGCUUGGCAGAGGAGACCGAUGCUGCCAUGACUGCGAGCAGCAUGAGAAGGUAGAGCAGGUUGAAUAUCCUCAUAGUUAGGUGGCAGCUGGUUUCAGGAGCUGAAACUAAUGAUAAUUUUCACAAAUAAGUCCGGAGAGUCCCUGUAGCUCAAAUCCGGACUGGACUGGAGAUGCUGAGUGUCUUCUCUUCUCUUCUCUCUUCUCUUUUCAGUCGAGAAAUCCUCCUCUGGGAGAAUCCAGUACGAACAAGUAGAUCUCUUCUGAGGAUAAUCGCUAUGUCCCUGAAGGAAUGUGUGUGUCCAGAGUGAUUGUCUCUGUGUCUGAGAGCGAAGUGACAAAGCCACCUGGUAUCCACUGCCCGCUAACUCCUGCCAGACCUCUGCCUCUCCGUGUUCCUCACUUUCUGUCUACCUGCCCUUUGGAGUAAGAUUCAUACCAGAUUCUCCCACCAGGUCUUCGCCGCAGAGCGUGUUGUAAUAAUUUGCACUUAUAAAAGGGAUUAUUCGUGUUUACGAGGAUUACCCAGCCUGCUUGAACACACCCCUGUGAGAGAGGCACACACAGACUGGGUGAGCUCUCAAACUGCUGCAGUACCCUGGCAGGGCUGCAGGUGAAGCUUGUUCUUUCAUUGCGUGAGAGCCAUCUUUGGUUACUUAAACAGUGCAGUGCAUUUUUACAUUGUAUGAAGUGUUUAACAAACAACAAAAUCCCCAAGCGAGCCCAAGAUAACAUGUGAAGAUAAUGAGUUGACAUAGAUAGAAAACAGAACAGCUGCAAAUCCACUUUUGCUGUGGAAAUGACUGAGAAGGAUGAGCAUUUAUCUAAACUGUUUCUUUCUGCUUUGAUAAAACAGCAUCAGGA